RNAcentral lists this small nuclear RNA (18 nucleotides) under Arabidopsis thaliana (thale cress). RNAcentral's name for it is "snRNA_01511". Lineage: Eukaryota; Viridiplantae; Streptophyta; Magnoliopsida; Brassicales; Brassicaceae. The record is from RNAcentral.
AGCUUCCGCCACGUGUCU